GAUGAACGCUGGCGGCGUGCCUAAUACAUGCAAGUCGAGCGAACAGACGAGGAGCUUGCUCCUUUGACGUUAGCGGCGGACGGGUGAGUAACACGUAGGUAACCUACCUAUAAGACUGGGAUAACUUCGGGAAACCGGAGCUAAUACCGGAUAAUAUUUCGAACCGCAUGGUUCGAUAGUGAAAGAUGGCUUUGCUGUCACUUAUAGAUGGACCUGCGCCGUAUUAGCUAGUUGGUAAGGUAACGGCUUACCAAGGCAACGAUACGUAGCCGACCUGAGAGGGUGAUCGGCCACACUGGAGCGGAGACAGGGUCAAGACUCCUGCGGGAGGGAGCAGUAGGGAAUCUUCCGCAAUGGGCGAAAGCCUGACGGAGCAACGGCGCGUGAGUGAUGAAGGUCUUCGGAGCGUAAAGAUCUGUUAUUAGGGAAGAACAAACGUGGAAGUAACUGUGCACGUCUUGACGGUACCUAAUCAGAAAGCCACGGCUAACUACGUG
Molecule: ribosomal RNA, 497 nt
Filed under: uncultured bacterium
Lineage: Bacteria
Description: partial 16S ribosomal RNA
Rfam family: Bacterial small subunit ribosomal RNA
Source: RNAcentral